CAAAUGGGAUGGUGGGGUAAGGAAUAAUCGGGGUGGUCUGUGGAACAACUUGGAGGAUUGGUGUUAUGUCUCAAGAAGAUAUUCAAGUAUGUUCCUCCUUUUUUACCCAGACCGACUGCUUCAUGCUGGGCUUCAGACAUGAGAGGCUAGGAGUAGGAGGCAUGCCUUGUUCAAAGGACACCAGGGCUGGCAAAUGCAGUGCAGAUCCAUUGGUCUUAAAUGUGGGAAAUAGUCUACAGUUUGGAAGACACC
This 252-nucleotide long non-coding RNA is filed under the name Homo sapiens (human). Its description in RNAcentral is "HSALNT0047158". Lineage: Eukaryota; Metazoa; Chordata; Mammalia; Primates; Hominidae. The record is from RNAcentral.